UCAUGGUUUAAUACUCUCUGCAUAGUUUUUCAGCUGAGAGGCCUGAUAGCGGUCAACUGUAAUAUUCAACUAAACGACUUCCAUCAGAAGUUCAAUCAAAAUUAAUGGGAAUUAAAUCAAAAGGAUAUUUCUCAGGUUUUUUGGGGAUUAUAACGGUGUGUUUUUGAAAGUCAUCAUGUCCUUUGCAUCUGAAGAAAUAAUCCCAUACGAACCUGACAUUUAUCGACCACCAGUAUAUUCAUUUUUCACCAAUUUUGGAGAACUUCACGAUGAGCAUGGCUGGGAGUAUCACUCUGACCGGGGCAUGCACCAGAGUGACAUGUUGGAAAUCUCCACACAAGGGAAUCACCUGACAGAGCUCCAGAGUGUCCAUUCCCAACAGCUCCUCCACCCCUAUCGCUACCCCGAUACCGACACCCUCCACCUGCCAUUAGCAGACCCAGGACUGGGACCCUUAACCCCACA
Molecule: long non-coding RNA, 465 nt
Organism: Salvelinus namaycush (lake trout)
Lineage: Eukaryota; Metazoa; Chordata; Actinopteri; Salmoniformes; Salmonidae
Exons: 3
Source: RefSeq, a predicted model, not a curated record